UACGGAGGGUGCGAGCGUUAAUCGGAAUUACUGGGCGUAAAGCGCACGCAGGCGGUUUGUUAAGCUAGAUGUGAAAGCCCCGGGCUCAACCUGGGAUGGUCAUUUAGAACUGGCAGACUAGAGUCUUGGAGAGGGGAGUGGAAUUCCAGGUGUAGCGGUGAAAUGCGUAGAUAUCCGGAGGAACAUCAGUGGCGAAGGCGACUCCCUGGCCAAAGACUGACGCUCAUGUGCGAAAGUGUGGGUAGCGAACAGC
Molecule: ribosomal RNA, 253 nt
Filed under: uncultured bacterium
Lineage: Bacteria
Description: partial 16S ribosomal RNA
Rfam family: Bacterial small subunit ribosomal RNA
Source: RNAcentral